CUUUGCGCUCUCGGCGUCCCCCUCCACGCCCAGGAGCGAGGGAACCUUGCGUAAGGGCUUUACUAGGGAAAACGGUGCUGGUUCACUGGGGCGCGUUUCCGGGAAGGUGAAUACCGGUGAAAGUUAUGCUGAGGGUGAGUAAACUCAAAAACUGACACUUGAUUCAGCUAUUGGAAAGUUUUUUUAAUGUGGUUGGAACAACUGAGGGCACACUGAUGCAAGAUGUGGAGCAGCUUGGACAGCUCCACUCCUGUGGCUUUGCAGGAACUUGGCAGGAUGAAGACAAAGUGUGUGAAAGGAGAGACGGGGUUUCACCAUGUUGGCCAGGAUGGUCUCAAACUCCUGACCUCAGGCGAUCUGCCUGCCUCGGCCUCCCAAACUGCUGGAAUUACAGAGGUCUUAAAAAUAAAUAUGAAUUUAGAUUCCAUACAUCGAUUAAUUGAGGAAACACAGAUCUUCCAGAUGCAACAAUCAUCAAUUAAGUCACGCGGCGACAUGGUGGCACCUGCCUCACCCCCCAGGGAUACCUGUAAUACCUGCUUCCCACUUCAUGGGCUACAAUCUCAUGCUGCUCACAAUUUCUGUGCUCACUCAUAUAACACCAACGAAUGGGAUAUUUGUGAAGAACUUCGCUUGCGGGAGCUUGAAGAAGUCAAGGCCAGAGCUGCUCAGAUGGAAAAGACCAUGCGGUGGUGGUCGGACUGCACUGCCAACUGGAGAGAAAAAUGGAGUAAAGUUCGAGCUGAAAGGAACAGUGCCAGGGAGGAAGGAAGACAACUCAGAAUAAAACUAGAGAUGGCGAUGAAAGAAUUGAGUACACUGAAAAAGAAACAGAGUUUGCCACCUCAGAAGGAGGCAUUAGAAGCUAAAGUUACCCAGGAUCUGAAGCUUCCUGGCUUCGUAGAAGAAUCCUGUGAACAUACAGACCAAUUUCAAUUGAGUUCACAAAUGCAUGAGUCUAUCAGAGAGUAUUUGGUAAAAAGACAAUUUUCUACAAAGGAGGACACAAAUAAUAAGGAACAAGGUGUGGUUAUUGAUUCUUUAAAAUUAAGUGAGGAGAUGAAGCCCAAUCUAGAUGGUGUUGAUUUAUUCAACAAUGGUGGUUCUGGAAACGGUGAAACGAAAACUGGGCUGAGACUGAAAGCAAUAAAUCUGCCUUUGGAAAAUGAAGUAACUGAAAUUUCAGCUUUGCAGGUGCAUUUGGAUGAAUUCCAAAAAAUCUUAUGGAAGGAAAGAGAAAUGCGCACAGCUUUGGAAGAAGAAAUAGAGAGACUGGAGUCGGCUUUGUCUCUGUGGAAGUGGAAGUAUGAGGAACUGAAAGAAUCAAAGCCAAAACAUGUGAAAGAGUUUGACAUUCUUCUUGGUCAACAUAAUGAUGAAAUUGAAGAACUGUCAGGCAAUAUAAAGGAAGAAUCCAAAUCUCAAAACAGCAAAGACAGAGUGAUUUGUGAGUUAAGAGCAGAGCUAGAGAGAUUGCAAGCUGAAAAUACCUCGGAGUGGGACAAGAGGGAAAUACUUGAAACAGAAAAGCAGGGACUGGAGAGAGAAAAUAGACGGCUGAAGAUCCAGGUGAAAGAAAUGGAAGAGCUCUUGGAUAAGAAAAAUAGAUUAAGUGCAAACUCUCAAAGUCCUGAUUUCAAGAUGUCACAAAUUGAUCUGCAAGAAAAAAACCAGGAUGUAAAAUAAUGUUCAUGCAUCUGAAACAAAGUGUGUCAAAUGUUAAAAUAUGACAAAUCUUCAGAAAGUUUCAAGAUUUCCAAAAGAAAGAAGAAAAAUGAAGAAUUACUGAACCUUCAACAUGCCUACUAUAAACUAAGCAGACAAUACCAGGCAAAUAUUGCAGAACUGACUCAUGCAAACAACCGAGUGGAUCAAAAUGAGGCAGAAGUAAAGAAACUAAGAUUACGAGUGGAAGAACUAAAGCAGGGACUCAACCGAAAAGAAGAUGAGCUUGAUGAUUCCCUGAAUCAGAUCCGUAAGCUCCAGAGGUCUCUGGAUGAAGAGAAAGAAAGAAAUGAAAACUUAGAGACUGAACUCAGGCACUUGCAAAACUGGUAAUUUUUUCACAAAAUAUGCUGAAUUAAAGAUUAGGGCCUUAAAGACAUUUCCAUAUCCUUUUCUUAAAUAUCAGUAAAAUUGUUUUUAUUAACUAGAAAUAUUAAUGAAAAAACUUAGACAAUAUACAAAUUAAUGGGCUUCUUCACUUCUUCUAAUUUUUGCCUAACAGAUACUGCAUAUUCUCAAAAAGACAGUUUAAAUGUCAUUUAAAAACAAGUUUAAUUCUAAGAUGUGUAAAUAUUUUGAAAGUCAAAAAGAGCUUUCAGAAUACUUUUUACAUAAAAUCUGAAAGAGUUAUAAUAUCGGUAAGAAAAAGUAAGUUGAAAACCAUACAAGACGCUGGGUCAUUAAUAAGAAAACCAUUGACUUUAAGUAUAAAGUACUGGUUUGUUUAAGUAAUUGGUAAACUUUUAUGUAUGUGUUGUCUAUGUGGUGGGGAUGGCAGAUUGUAUUAACAAAAAUGAAUCAUUCUAGAGGUGUAACAAUAUAUUUCUUAUAUAAUUUUAUAAGUCAUUUCUAAUUCUUUGUAUAAAACGGAAGUGAGCAGAUGAAUCAGAAAAAAGUGUUUUGUAUUUUAAAGUAACAGAUAACCGGUGAUUGAGUCUAAGACAGGCUGUAAGCAUCGCUGAGAAACUAAAAGGACUUUUGACUUUUAUCUGGAUAGACAUUUCUACCGUAAAAUCAUGGAAAGGCAUCAGCAUUGCAAAGUAGUAUCUAGGUAGAAAUCAGGCCAAAAUUAAGCUGUCGUUUCCCUUUGAGUAGUGGGAAUAGAGAAAAUUAGGAAAUUGUGGUUAUGUGAAUAUUUCUUUAAAACUUUUAUAUACAUUAUAGUUUAUUGCUUCCUAUUUAAGUUUGGUUUUUAAGGUAAAAUGUUAUUUUGAACAAAAAGACACUUAUAAUUUUCCAUACCUAUUUUCAACUGAAGGCAACUUGUAAGAUUUAACUCAGUCAAUAACAUACUGGUUUUACUCAUCUCCCCCCUCCACUGAUUAGUCAAAAAAAAAUGAAAUCUUACUAAUUCAUUACUGAAUAAAGACCACUUUUAUCAGAGUC
This is an RNA transcript of Pan troglodytes (chimpanzee), 3111 nucleotides long. It is a transcript of the gene named coiled-coil domain containing 102B, with no coding region annotated. NCBI's taxonomy places the organism in Eukaryota, Metazoa, Chordata, Mammalia, Primates, Hominidae. The transcript is spliced from 13 exons. The record is from RefSeq and is a predicted model, not a curated record.